Lagopus leucura (white-tailed ptarmigan) is the source of this 2088-nucleotide long non-coding RNA. RefSeq lists it as uncharacterized. NCBI's taxonomy places the organism in Eukaryota, Metazoa, Chordata, Aves, Galliformes, Phasianidae. The transcript is spliced from 4 exons. The record is from RefSeq and is a predicted model, not a curated record.
CAGUGCGGCCAAGAGGAACCGUGGGCACACAGAUGCUCCACUGCUCCUGUCCGCAGCACACAGGGAGCAUCCUCGCUCCCAGUAGAAGGGAAACGUGCCCGGGAGAAACAGAAAGGAAAACAUCUGGAAGCAGAAGCCUGCAGGCAAUGUCGUCAUGGCUUGGAAAAUCUAUCAGCGCGCACAUAUCUCCCACGUGUGCACCUAGGUUCGUUUUGUCUCGUUUGUCUUCUUGUUUUUAUUAACGACCUACCACAAAGACUCAAGGUACCGUACCAUUAAAACAAGGCAGGAGGUGCCUGCAGCUGCCCACUCCCACCCAGCCGCCAUCCUCCGCCCAGUGGUGCCCUCGUGUGUCUCCGCUCGUGAAGUUCAAACAUUGGGAUCCUGCUAAUUUGCUCUACUUUGAGACAACGCUAGAAAUCUGGCUCUACUCUGCACGCCCCUUUCUUCGAAGCCUCACAGCGCUUUGCAAUUUCACAUAAAGGAGCAUGUGUGAAAGUGAAAAAACUUCUGCCCAUGCUUUUAGCUGAAUUACAGUAAAUAACUGUGAAAAUCCAACAACCUGUUCUGCAUCAUGGCAACCUUUCUGGACCAAAUUUGCAGCAUCUAGAGUGCAAAUUCUGACUGAAGUAUGCGAAAUAUACACUUUCACCCUUAAAUGGAUAUCUACACUUGAAUGUCUACAUCGUGUUCUACAAAUCUGAACAGCAUAACCACAAAGAAGUUAGCAGUGGAAGUCCUCAACCUAUCCAAGUCAAAGCCUUCUUGAUUUUAAAAACUUAAAUAAAGUGGGAUAAAAAAACAAACAAACAACACAACAAAAACAAACAAACAAACAGCAACAGCAACAGAAAAAAACCUUCAAAUUGAAGCUGUGAAGCACGUUUUACCUGGGAGCAGCUCAGAAAUGCAGUAGUUCAUCAGUAAAAGACCAGUUGUGGUUUGUGAUGUUAGAAAAUAUAUGUUCGAUAGUAUAUGAAUAUGUAACAUAAAUUCAUCUCAACUAGCCUUAUGGAUAAAGCAUUUACCUUAAUGUGUCUACAAUGUGUGUGUGGGACUGAACAUCAGAUAAAUGUGUGUGUCCUUAAAUAAGACAGAUAGCUACAGAGAGCGAGGAAAUACUGCUGUCAGAGCCUGGCAGCCAUGUAGCUGCUUACUGAGCUCACAGAUCUGUUGACUGCAACAACCAGAGAUUGACUACAAUGAAAGCUCAUCCAACAAGUUCACAUAGGGACACCUAGGUUGUGGGCUUGGAAUACUGAGUUGUCCUGAUAGUGUACUGUAAAAAUCUGCUUGAGUUGAUUUACCAGUUUUAGACUCCUAUGCUAGCAAUAGUCAAAUUAUGUUUUAGAAUUAUGUCCCUCUGUUGGCUGAAAAAGAAACCUAGACUGUUGAUAUACAGGCAACAGUGCUGUAGUUAUACGAAAUAUAGGGAGCUGAAAACUGUUCUUCUUGUCCUUCUGAAAUGUGUUUUCUGACUGUAGUCUUCCUUCUCAAGGACCAGCACGGUGCUUGCUUUGCAAUAAUGCCAUGCCAAUAAAUUUUAAAUAAUUAGCUGAAUUUAAUACCACAAUAUUUAUAUUUAUUUCUAAGCAUUUAACCUUAGAAACGUAGUUAGAAUGAGACUAACACUUUUGGUGUGUAGGAGAAUCUGUAAGUCUCAUGAGGAGGCCACAGGAGCUUUCAAAGUCCAAUGUGACAUGUUGUUAGCCUGGGAGGUAAGCAACUCUGUCUCUGUAAUUGUACAUGGUUGGUCUCUGCUAUUCAAAACCCUCAUGUCUCCAUAUGUGAUCCCAGAGUAUUGGAAGUAUGCAAGGCCCUUUGUACGUUUCAGGAUUUUGCACAUCACCAUUUCAGAGCUUCAAAGUACGGUUGCUUUAUGGCAACACAUCUCAAUGGAGCUGGGUAGGGCUCAGAUGAUAUGAGUGUCUCUUUUCCUUUUGGUCAGUUUUCAAACUGAAUUGGGAAAACCAGUUGCAGCUACAAAUUGCAACUGUGUGAAUUUCUACUCAAUGACAAAUGUUAGCAGGAUUUAGCACUUCUUAUUUAGGUACUUUACGUACCAUUAUCUACCUUUAAAUGCAUCAU